Molecule: long non-coding RNA, 833 nt
Organism: Ananas comosus (pineapple)
Lineage: Eukaryota; Viridiplantae; Streptophyta; Magnoliopsida; Poales; Bromeliaceae
Exons: 2
Source: RefSeq, a predicted model, not a curated record
AAAAAAAAAAAAAAGGUUAGAAAAGGGAAAAUUUCUUCUCUUUUCCUUAAAAGUUUUCCCUUGCCUCGAAUAAAACAAAACGUCACGGGCAAAUGGCAAACUUUGUUUUAUUUUUCCUCCCUACAAUUUCCUUUCCUUUAGUACAAAAAUUAAAGAUUUUACGUUAAACAACAGAGAGGAAGAAGAAUAAGGGAGAAAGCUCCUCUCUUUUUUUUUCUGUCUCUGUCUCUCUCUCUCUCUCUCUCUUUUUGUUUUCCUCCUCGUCCUCCUCCUCCUCAACUCCUCAAUAAAGACUUUAAUAAGAGAUCGUGGCAGGAACCGAUGGGGGAAGGAAGAACUAGGAAUCCAGCAAGCCUAUCGAGCUCGGGCGUCGAAUACAGCUGCUGGUGCGGCGGCAUGGAAGAGUCCGAGUUUGAGGGAGACUGCUGCCCCCCCCCCUCGGAUUUAAGACGCAAGCGACCAGCGGCGGCAGCGCAUUAGUUGCUCUCAGGAUGAUGAGAUAUCCACUGAGACAAAUUGUGCUGCCGCAAUCGCAUUUUGCAGCGGGCUGAGGGGGAUUUCAUUUGGACCUAGUGAUGGUAUUCAACGAGGGUCCAUUUUUGCGAGGACCUAUGAUGUUGCCUGCAUAAGUGAACAAAGUGAGAUUGACAUCCUUCUCUGAUAACCAGUGAGGGACCGCAACACAUAUCGGGUUGAACUUGAAGUGUGUACAACUUGUCUUCGUCCUUGUAGUACAUCAUACAGACUUAACUACGAUAUACUCCACCAACUUUGGGGUGUUUCACAUUAUACAAUACUAUAACAGAUGAUAUCAGAGGCAUUAUUUAGAUUUA